GAUGAACGCUGGCGGCGUGCCUAACACAUGCAAGUCGAACGGGGUUGAUUUAUGGAAGUUUUCGGAUGGAAGUGAGUCAACUUAGUGGCGGACGGGUGAGUAACGCGUGGGCAACCUGCCCCAUGCCGGGGGAUACCGCCUGGAAACAGGCGCUAAUACCGCAUAAGCGCAUACAGCCGCAUGGCAGUAUGCGGAAAGCUCCGGCGGCAUGGGAUGGGCCCGCGCCCGAUUAGCCAGUUGGCGGGGUAACGGCCCACCAAAGCGACGAUCGGUAGCCGGCCUGAGAGGGCGGACGGCCACAUUGGGACUGAGACACGGCCCAA
RNAcentral lists this ribosomal RNA (323 nucleotides) under uncultured bacterium. RNAcentral describes it as "bacterial SSU rRNA". It matches the Rfam family "Bacterial small subunit ribosomal RNA", at positions 28 to 334 of the family's 1533-position model. The record is from RNAcentral.